GGCUCCGCGGACCUCCUGGUCAAUGGAAGCGCGGACUGGGCAGUCCGCGCCGCGGUCAGGUGGGCCUCCCAGCUCUAGUCCCGCGCCGCCCUGCUCACUCUUCCGCUCCAUCUUGGCUCCAUAAGCUCGCCUUCUUGUUGACUCUCCUGCUGCCGGGGCUGUGGCAGCCGAGACCAAGUGACCUCAGCGAACGCGAGGAGACAGUGGGUCUGAGUAAACCCCGCGUUCCGGAGAAUUCGCCUGGGGCAUGGGGGCGGACGCGGAUUGUUCGCUUCCUGUGACCCACAGUCAUUAAUUGAGCACCUAGUAUGUGAGAGAGGAGGCUGUGAGGAGAGGAACACAGCGGGAUGAGACAAAGCCAGGGCCUGUUCUCUAGGAGCCUCUACCUCCCUGUGCUAUCGAGGACCCCGCUCCGAGAUUCUCGGCCAUAGGUUGCUAGAAUGAUUAUGCAGAUCUAUCUGAUAUAGGGGAAAAAUUCAGCAACCUCAUCCAGAUUCUGCUAUCCCUACAAGGCUGCAUCUGAGAAGACCAAAGAGAUGGAGAAAGUGGGCCAUGAAGCAAGAAAUGUGGGUGCCCUCUAGAAGCUGGAAACAGCAAGGAAAUGGACCUUUCCCUAAAACCUCCAAAAAGCAAUGCAGACCUGUCAACAUUUUUACUUUAGCCCACUGAGGCCAUUUCAGAUUUCUGCUCCAGAACUCUAAGAUCCAAAGAUCACAGUGAAGCCGAAGCACCAGAAGCUUGAAGAAAACUAUACCAAGGCUCAUCGUAAUCAAACUGCUCAAAACCAGUGAUUAAAGAAAAAUUUUAAAGCCCCUAAAAUUAUUCAGCUGCUUUUCCUGCUGAAGCAUUCAGAUGACCCAUAGGACAAAGGCACAGUUCAACCCCUUCAAUUACAGAAGAGCUAACUGAAGCUGAGAGAAGAGACAUGACUGGUUCAAGGUCACAGAGCUAGUUACUAAAAGAAUGGAUUAGAGCUCACUGGUUUUUUUCAGCUUUAUUAAAGUGUAA
Long non-coding RNA from Suricata suricatta (meerkat), 1008 nucleotides. RefSeq lists it as uncharacterized. The transcript is spliced from 5 exons. The record is from RefSeq and is a predicted model, not a curated record. NCBI's taxonomy places the organism in Eukaryota, Metazoa, Chordata, Mammalia, Carnivora, Herpestidae.